UGGCGAAAUUGGUAGACGCACCAGAUUUAGGUUCUGGCGCCGCGAGGCGUAAGAGUUCAAGUCUCUUCUUCCGCACCA
RNAcentral lists this transfer RNA (78 nucleotides) under Vibrio cholerae. Its description in RNAcentral is "tRNA-Leu". It matches the Rfam family "tRNA". From Rfam's summary of the family: Transfer RNA (tRNA) molecules are approximately 80 nucleotides in length. Their secondary structure includes four short double-helical elements and three loops (D, anti-codon, and T loops). Further hydrogen bonds mediate the characteristic L-shaped molecular structure. tRNAs have two regions of fundamental functional importance: the anti-codon, which is responsible for specific mRNA codon recognition, and the 3' end, to which the tRNAs corresponding amino acid is attached (by aminoacyl-tRNA synthetases). tRNAs cope with the degeneracy of the genetic code in two manners: having more than one tRNA (with a specific anti-codon) for a particular amino acid; and 'wobble' base-pairing, i.e. permitting non-standard base-pairing at the 3rd anti-codon position. The record is from RNAcentral. Lineage: Bacteria; Pseudomonadati; Pseudomonadota; Gammaproteobacteria; Vibrionales; Vibrionaceae. RNAcentral also lists the same sequence under 1 other name.